CCCAUUGCUCCGGGGUGCACAGACAUUGGUCUGGCGCUGAGAUGGCCACCUGGCCGAACCCGUGAACUUGAUCCGGCUAGUACCGGCGAAAGAAGAGCGCAUGCCGAGGUG
RNAcentral lists this non-coding RNA (111 nucleotides) under Hydrogenophaga sp. RNAcentral's name for it is "TPP sequence". It matches the Rfam family "TPP riboswitch aptamer (THI element)". Rfam says of the family: Vitamin B(1) in its active form thiamin pyrophosphate (TPP) is an essential coenzyme that is synthesised by coupling of pyrimidine and thiazole moieties in bacteria. The previously detected thiamin-regulatory element, thi box was extended, resulting in a new, highly conserved RNA secondary structure, the THI element, which is widely distributed in eubacteria and also occurs in some archaea. The record is from RNAcentral. Lineage: Bacteria; Pseudomonadati; Pseudomonadota; Betaproteobacteria; Burkholderiales; Comamonadaceae.